Molecule: long non-coding RNA, 340 nt
Organism: Sus scrofa (pig)
Lineage: Eukaryota; Metazoa; Chordata; Mammalia; Artiodactyla; Suidae
Source: RefSeq, a predicted model, not a curated record
AGCAGGGGGCGGGAUCUGAGGGCAGAUCCCAGGUCUCCUCAUGCCUGUGGCAUUCGACAGGCACAUGCAGGUACGGGGCAAGUGUGGAACAAACCUGCUUUUCUCCAGCCAAGAUCGGCCAACCUGAUGAAAAGGACGAUUAAUCCAGCUGCCUCCCACUAAUCCACCGGCCCAUUUGGACCGGAACUUCUCUUUAUGUUUUUCAUGGAGCAUUUCAUUUGAUCUGCACCAAAUCCAUGUGUGGGCCCUGCUUUGAGGCCACGCCGUCUCCAUCCUGAGCUACGCAUCUCUUACCGCCAAUUGAAAACGGAGGAAGCAGCUCGGGCUUCAACAGAAGCAG